AUUGAACGCUGGCGGCAGGCCUAACACAUGCAAGUCGAGCGGAUGAAGGGAGCUUGCUCUUGGAUUCAGCGGCGGACGGGUGAGUAAUGCCUAGGAAUCUGCCUGGUAGUGGGGGAUAACGUCCGGAAACGGGCGCUAAUACCGCAUACGUCCUGAGGGAGAAAGUGGGGGAUCUUCGGACCUCACGCUAUCAGAUGAGCCUAGGUCGGAUUAGCUAGUUGGUGGGGUAAAGGCCUACCAAGGCGACGAUCCGUAACUGGUCUGAGAGGAUGAUCAGUCACACUGGAACUGAGACACGGUCCAGACUCCUACGGGAGGCAGCAGUGGGGAAUAUUGGACAAUGGGCGAAAGCCUGAUCCAGCCAUGCCGCGUGUGUGAAGAAGGUCCUCGGAUUGUAAAGCACUUUAAGUUGGGAGGAAGGGCAGUAAGUUAAUACCUUGCUGUUUUGACGUUACCAACAGAAUAAGCACCGGCUAACUUCGUG
Molecule: ribosomal RNA, 484 nt
Filed under: uncultured bacterium
Lineage: Bacteria
Description: partial 16S ribosomal RNA
Rfam family: Bacterial small subunit ribosomal RNA
Source: RNAcentral